CCCUUAGAUGUUCUGGGCCGCACGCGUGCUACACUGAGUGGAUCAGCGGGUCAGGUUGCGCGAAAGCGUUUCCUAAUCUUUAAAUCCGCUCGUGAUGGGGAUUGACGGUUGCAAUUUUCUGUCAUGAACGAGGAAUACCUUGUAAGCGCGGGUCAUCAUCCCGCGUUGAAUACGUCCCUGCCCUUUGUACACACCGCCCGUCGCUCCUACCGAUUGAGUGGUCCGGUGAGGCUUGGGAUCUGAGCGGAAAGAGAGUUUCGCUGUUUCUGCUCGGAAAACUCAGUCGAACCUUAUCAUUUAGAGGAAGGAGAAGUCGUAACA
RNAcentral lists this ribosomal RNA (321 nucleotides) under uncultured eukaryote. RNAcentral's name for it is "partial 18S ribosomal RNA". It matches the Rfam family "Eukaryotic small subunit ribosomal RNA", at positions 1470 to 1796 of the family's 1831-position model. The record is from RNAcentral.